CUGCAUGGCCGUCGUCAGUUCGUGGCUUGAGCUGUUCCCUUAAGUGGGGAAACGAACGCAACCCUCGUUGCCUGUUACAAGUGUCAGGCAAGACCGCCCAGCCCUAAUUUUUUGAGAAAACUUUUUUGAAAAAUUAGGGCUGGGAGGAAGGAGAGGAUGACGCCAGGUCCGCAUGGCCCUUUGAUACCCUGGGCUACACACGCAAUACAAUGGCUACUACAACGGGACGCGACGGAGUGAUCCUAAGCAAAUCCUAAUAAAGGUAGCCCCAGUUCGGAUUGUAGUCUGCAACUCGACUACAUGAAGCCGGAAUCGCUAGUAAUCGCGGGUCAGCAAACCGCGGUGAAUACGUUCUCAAGUCUUGUACUCACCGCCCGUCAAUUCAAGGGAGCCGGGAAUACCCGACGUCUCACAUUAGUGGGCCUACGGUAAGCUCGGUGACAGGGAAUAAGUCGUAACAAGGCACGGGUAGCGGAAGCUGUUCGUGGAAUCAUUCAAGU
RNAcentral lists this ribosomal RNA (500 nucleotides) under Candidatus Nomurabacteria bacterium. RNAcentral describes it as "bacterial SSU rRNA". It matches the Rfam family "Bacterial small subunit ribosomal RNA", at positions 1041 to 1533 of the family's 1533-position model. Lineage: Bacteria; Candidatus Nomuraibacteriota. The record is from RNAcentral.